UACGUAGGGUGCGAGCGUUAAUCGGAAUUACUGGGCGUAAAGCGUGCGCAGGCGGUUCGUUGUGUCUGAUGUGAAAGCCCCGGGCUCAACUUGGGAACGGCAUUGGAAACUGGCGAGCUAGAGUGUGGCAGAGGGGGGUGGAAUUCCUGGUGUAGCGGUGAAAUGCGUAGAUAUCAGGAGGAACACCGGUGGUGUAGACGGCUCUCUGGACCGUAACUGACGCUGAGGCACGAAAGCGUGGGUAGCAAACAGG
This 253-nucleotide ribosomal RNA is filed under the name uncultured bacterium. RNAcentral's name for it is "partial 16S ribosomal RNA". It matches the Rfam family "Bacterial small subunit ribosomal RNA", at positions 524 to 776 of the family's 1533-position model. The record is from RNAcentral.